This 242-nucleotide ribosomal RNA is filed under the name uncultured bacterium. RNAcentral describes it as "partial 16S ribosomal RNA". It matches the Rfam family "Bacterial small subunit ribosomal RNA", at positions 535 to 776 of the family's 1533-position model. The record is from RNAcentral.
CCAGCGUUAUUCGGAAUUAUUGGGCGUAAAGGGCGCGUAGGCGGCCAUGCGUGUCUUCCGUGAAAUCCCUCGGCUUAACUGAGGACGUGCGGAAGAAACUGCAAGGCUCGAGUCCGGGAGAGGGAAGCGGAAUUCCCGGUGUAGUGGUGAAAUGCGUAGAUAUCGGGAGGAACACCAGUGGCGAAGGCGGCUUCCUGGCCUGUUCUUGACGCUGAGGCGCGAAAGCGUGGGGAGCGAACAGG